Molecule: small nuclear RNA, 199 nt
Filed under: Ipomoea nil (Japanese morning glory)
Lineage: Eukaryota; Viridiplantae; Streptophyta; Magnoliopsida; Solanales; Convolvulaceae
Description: U1 spliceosomal RNA
Rfam family: U1 spliceosomal RNA
About the family: U1 is a small nuclear RNA (snRNA) component of the spliceosome (involved in pre-mRNA splicing). Its 5' end forms complementary base pairs with the 5' splice junction, thus defining the 5' donor site of an intron.
Source: Rfam by way of RNAcentral
AUACUUACCUGGAUGGGGUCAAUGGGUGAUCAAUAAGGCUCAUGGCCUAGGUUGAUGGCAUCCAUUGCACUUUGGAAGGGUGUUAAUCUUUUGCUUUAUUGGUGGAGCCUACGUCAUAAUUUAAUCUAAGAUUUGCUUUAUUGGUGGAGCCUACGUCAUAAUUUAUGAUAGAGGGUGCUUGCGUCUGUGCAGCCCCUAC